RNAcentral lists this ribosomal RNA (254 nucleotides) under uncultured bacterium. RNAcentral describes it as "partial 16S ribosomal RNA". It matches the Rfam family "Bacterial small subunit ribosomal RNA", at positions 524 to 776 of the family's 1533-position model. The record is from RNAcentral.
UACAGGGGGGGCAAGCGUUGUUCGGAUUUACUGGGCGUAAAGGGCGCGUAGGCGGCCAGCACAAGUCAGUUGUGAAAUCUCCGAGCUUAACUCGGAAAGGUCAACUGAUACUGUGCGGCUAGAGUGCGGAAGGGGCAACUGGAAUUCUUGGUGUAGCGGUGAAAUGCGUAGAUAUCAAGAGGAACACCUGCGGCGAAGGCGGGUUGCUGGGCCGACACUGACGCUGAGGCGCGAAAGCCAGGGGAGCGAACGGG